Long non-coding RNA from Chelonia mydas (Green sea turtle), 4737 nucleotides. RefSeq lists it as uncharacterized. Lineage: Eukaryota; Metazoa; Chordata; Testudines; Cheloniidae. The record is from RefSeq and is a predicted model, not a curated record. The transcript is spliced from 2 exons.
AAACAGCUUCUGUAGUUAAUAAAUAGUACCCAUGUCUGUUAGAGUCUGAAAAGUUACAUAACUACUUGAUAUAAGACACAGUCAAGCAAAAUAUUUACUAUGUAACCCUACACAGCACAGAAUAGUUUCCGUUAAUUGUUUUGUAUGUGUAUCACAGGAAAUGAAGAGUUUUCUCUAUCUAUAACUAAAAGGUAAAAUAUAUGAGAGACAGUUGUUGGUAAGGGGCCAGAUGAAUCCUAUAUAUUACUAUUAGACUAUACUGAAAUAUACUUCUGGACACAGGAUGUUCAAAAAGUGUUUCUUUUAAUACUUAUUUUAAGCACUUUCAUUAGCCAUUUAUUUUUGUGCUGUGUGUGUCUUCACAAUGGGCUGGGUCUGCUAAAGCAAAGUAGAGCAUGACUUCUGUCACGUCUGCCAUUUGAAACUCGGUGUCACUUGGUGUCUGGCUCCUUUAAGGGGAGAUGGGGCCAGCCACACUUAUGCCAUAAUUAAUUAGCUGUUUCCCAGACUGAGAAGGUGGGACUAAGGAGGUUUAGGUGAUACUUAAUGGACACCAGGCCAUGUAAGAGGGCUAAAAAGCUCAACUUGGGCAGAACCACAGAGAGUGGGCAGGCUUCUUUGGAAGGUUCUGAGUGAGGGUCUGCAGUAGACUGAGGGGUGCUAGAAACUCCAGGGAAGAAGUCUGAGAGUUAGAGCCAGAGACUUUAAAGAUAACCUGGAAGGGACUAGAAACUGAGCCCGGAACAGGCUAGAAAGGAGCCCAGGUGGGGAGAAAGUACUUUUUUUUGUUUGGACUUCCUACCUCAAAAGAGAAUUGAGGUCAGAAUGACCCAUCUGAAGGACUGAGCCACAUGACCUGCCAAGAGAGACAGAAAAUCCUGGGGAGGAGGAAACUCAGGCAGGGAGUGCCUGCAGAGUCACACAGGGCCAGCAGCGGCCAGAGAUGCUCCAUGAAACUCAUGUGAAAAGCUGUGACAUCCCAGACAGUAGCCUCUUCCAUACCUGAAGCAGCAUACCAAGGAGAGGGGGAAGCAAUAGGCUGGGAAUCAGUUGUGAUCGAAUCUGAGGGGUGUGGCAAGUGAGAGCACUACAUGGAAGAUUAGAGAAGUCUAAUCUGGGGAUCAGGAGAGAGGAAGCUAUGUUUAUCUGGGGGGGCUGGAAUCCAUCACUGUGAAGUUUGCAAAUUCCAGAAGACUCCUGUCAUGAAGCAAAUCCUAAAUAUUUUUUUAAAUGUAUGUAGAUUCCCAAGCUAAAAACUUCUUAAACUGGAUUUACAUCUGUAAAUACCAAAUACUUAAUGGGUAAAAAAACCCUUAUUAAGAGAAUACUAUACUUUUCUCAGUUACUAAGGAUAACUCGUAAAUUCAAAGUUAAAGUUACUCAUAGACUAACACGGCUGUUACUCUGAAACCUGUCUAUGUGCUCAGUUAAUCUUAAUUUUGCCUCUCCACGCUGAGGAUACCCCCAGAUCAGGAGAUACUCCUAUUUUCAACAAAACACAUCUUUAUCUCAUCCGUUACACCAAACAGUUAGCAUGAAUCAAACUAAAUUAUUUUUUGCUUGUUGAUAACUGAUUCUGCACUGCUGUAACAUUUAAACCUAAAUUCAUCUCUUACAUUGCUACAGCAGACAAGUCCUGUCUUUAAAACCAGACACAACUGACAGAAAGAGACGUGUCUGUAUCUUUACUGAUGGUAAUCAGAUUCAGAACAGUCUUAUGAGACAAUUCCCCAGCAAUAGUUAGAAUUUCAAAGUGUUUUAGUAGAGUUUGUCUUGCCUAGGAAAAGUGGUCAAGUUUACGUCUAAGAUGUGCUAGUUAAACCUGACCUUAAACUCAACCUUUUUCCUACUAUAAAUGGAAGAUAAUACUUUGUAGUUUUAAUUCAGCUGGUUGAGUUGUAGCCUAGCAGAGUGAAUAUUUACUAAAGUUGAAUACGCCCACUUUAUGAUCAUGGAAUCUGUAUGCUCUCAUUAAGUGCAAAUUAUAAAUGGGGAUAGCAUUAUAAAAUGAAUAAUUUAACAAGAUUAGGAGCCAAAAUCAGGAUGUCUUAGGCAGCUGUUUAAUGGACGUUCUUUUAAUGAAAGUGCAUUGUAAUGAAUGUAAAACAAAAGUAAGUAGGAGUGAGAGAGUCACAGCUAUAAUUUUCCUGCAUGCUAAUUCUGACAGCAGCAUAUUGGUGGAGCAAGGCAAAAUUUGAUUUUGAUACAGUUUUGUUGUUUCUCUUGUUUAUAUAAAUGUUACCCUGAAUUGAAACAGUUUUCAGCUGAAACAUGAAUCUUUAUGUGAUUUUAUCAGGAUGUGGGUGGACGGGUCUAAAAGAAAAUGAAUGUCUCUUAGAAAAGUGAGUGUGUUUUUUAUGGAGGAAGUGAAAGGAAAGGAAUGCAGAGACGACAGUGGCAUUUUAGUGAUAUAGCACCUUGUCUUUCCUUUCACACAGCAAAAUUUAAGUGUUAUUCAAGUAUCAUCCAAUGGCAAACUUCCUCAGAAGUUAGUAUUAAAGUUUGACCUCUAGUGAUCUCAAAUUUCUUGAGAUUUUCUUGGAGCUAAACUUUCAGAUUUUUUUUCUUUAAAAAUGUAUCCUUUUAUAAUACCUUAUUCAUUUUGACUUCUGACAGCCAGGCUGUUUGUUCUCCUUUGUAAUUUUUUUAUACCUAAUUUUUCUUUUCUACUAUUCUAUCAUUAUUGGGUACUUCCUGGUACAUUUUCUGUGGGACGGAGGAAAUAUCUCUUUGGCUCUGUUGUGGAGGUGCCACUGAUUUAUUACCUGUCCAAGGUUGGUUUUGCGACUUGUACUCUACUGUAGCACUUGUUGCUAAGAUGUCCAUAUAUAGGAGGUCCUGAGAGAGAACAUUUUGAGGGGUUAAAACUAAGAGAUUGUCUAUGCUGGGAUUUCUUUGCAUCAGUUUAGCUAUACCAUUGAAACCAAGAUAAACCAUACCUCUGCAAGUCACUUUUUACACUAGUGCAGCCCCACACAUGUAAAAUGCACUUGAAAGAACAUAGCAAUGAUAUCUGUUUCAUUGGCGAUGUUCAGUAUUUAUAUUUCAGGAAAGUUUGAUAUCUGAACUGGUCAAUGGAAUGCCUCUUAGAGUCUAUUGCCAAAAGGAGAGUUGUGUGAGUUUAAGCUUUGUAUUUUGCUAAAUUUUUCUGCUGGUGGUUGAAAACAAAAGCAGUUCUGGAAGAACAUACUGUCUAUCAGGUUCAUAGAAGUAAUCUCCAAAAUCAAGAAAAGCACUUACUCACAUUGGUACAUGUAGUAAAACCUGCUAUAUAGCUCUUCGCGGUAAAAACAUGAUCUCCAGAUGACUCUCUGUAUUAUCACAAGAAUUUCCACCCAAGAGUAGCAAUAAGGUUGUUCCUUUGAGUUGUGAAGUUAUUUUACAGUAGACUCCAGAUUAGAAAUACAUCAGUAUUUUUUUGUUUUUGUUUUGCAACCAUAGGUAAUUGAGGAUUAUCAAUUACCUUUAUAAGGAUUAUUUCAACCAAUAAAAGCUACAAAACAAAAUGUUUUCUUAAUAUUUUAACAAUGAUCAGAUCUUCCAGCCUCAUUCAUUUUUCCGAGACCUUUCUAAAUAAGCGUAGCAUAAUUUUUUAUGAUUGUUUGACUUAUUGAUGCCAUGCCUGGGGAGGAUUCUGGAUCAGAUGCUCAGUGGAUUUCAGUAAUCCAGUAAAAAUCUAGUCCUUGUGUCUGCUCAGGGAAGUAAAAGAAAACAAUGAGAUGUGAAAGGAAGAAAACUGAGGGGGUAAAUAAAGUAUAAAGACCAGAAGUAAGUGGAAAGGGGGCACAAUGGGUCAGUGUGAAGAGAACCAAGGAUGGCAAGAGGCAAGAGGUAUAUUGAAAAAUACUGUUUCUUUUGUUUAUCAUUUUUACAGUGCAAAUAUUUGUAAUAAAAAAUAAUAUAAAGUGAUCAGUGUACACUUUGUAUCCUGUGUUGUAGUUGAAAUCAAUAUAUUUGAAAAUGUAGAAAAACAUCCAAAAAUAUUUAAAUGUCAAUUGAUGUUCUGUUGUUUAAAGAUGAAAUUAAAACUGUGAUUAACCGCAAUUUUUUUGAGUUAAUUGAGUGAGUUAGCUGUGAUUAAUCAACAGUCCUACAUGAUAUUACUUAUUUGCAUGUCAGUCCUACCAACUGACCUUUGAAAAAUCCUAGAUCCACUGCUGCCCCAGAAAGACCAUAGUACAUUAUUUAAACAGCCCAUUCUAAAUGCAGAAAAUCAAUUUAAAAUGAACAGAUUGUUUCAGUACAGAUUAUUUGACUAUGAUGCAAAAUAAAAAUUACAAACUAGUAAUUUAACAAUCCAGAUACAGCCAGCUCUAAAGACGACAAAGUAUUUUAUCUGACUUUGGCAUUAAACCCUUCCUCGUUAUUUACACUCACAGUAAUUCUCCCAAGUGUUUAUACACUGUGACCUUAUCCUAUGUAAUGUAUCCUAUACAUGUAAUUCCCAUUGGCACUAUCUGAAUCGUAUGUGUAAGGAGAGAUGUACACUAAUUGGUCCUCAUUUUAGACCAUCUAACCACUGAAAACUAAGACUGAAAUAAAUUGUCCUAUCUCAAUUUAAACACUUGCACACCGCAUCUCCAAGUCAGCAGGAGAGAAUGCAAGAUUUCCUUUCUACCACACUUAGAAAUGGCUCUGUCAAGUAAGCUCUUCAGAGUUGAAAUAUUGUCUGUAAAAUGGCCAGCAUGCUUUUUGAGUGCUAUAUAAAUAACAAAAUAAAACUCUUAUCUAUUUUAA